GGUUAAACAGAAAAGAGCGUAGGGCGGAUGCCUUGGCACUAAGAGCCGAUGAAGGACGUGAUAAGCUGCGAUAAGCUGCGGGGAAGAGCAAAUAUCUAUUGAUCCGCAGAUUUCCGAAUGGGGAAACCUACUGCAGAAGACCUGCAGUGACUGUGCGUAAAUCCAUAGCGUACAGCCGGGAACCCGCUGAACUGAAACCUCUAAGUAGGCGGAGGAAGAGCAAACAACCGUGAUUCCGAAAGUAGUGGCGAGCGAAAUCGGAAGAGCCCAAACCGAGGUGCGUGCACUUCGGGGUUCGGAC
Molecule: ribosomal RNA, 301 nt
Filed under: Fusobacterium periodonticum
Lineage: Bacteria; Fusobacteriati; Fusobacteriota; Fusobacteriia; Fusobacteriales; Fusobacteriaceae
Description: partial 23S ribosomal RNA
Rfam family: Bacterial large subunit ribosomal RNA
Source: RNAcentral